UCGAGGGCGGCAGCGGGAAGUAGCUUGCUACUUUUGCCGGCGAGCGGCGGACGGGUGAGUAAUGCCUGGGAAAUUGCCCAGUCGAGGGGGAUAACAGUUGGAAACGACUGCUAAUACCGCAUACGCCCUACGGGGGAAAGCAGGGGACCUUCGGGCCUUGCGCGAUUGGAUUAAUGCCCAGGUGGGAUUAGCUAGUUGGUGAGGUAAUGGCUCACCAAGGCGACGAUCCCUAGCUGGUCUGAGAGGAUGAUCAGCCACACUGGAACUGAGACACGGUCCAGACCCUACGGGAGGCAGCAGUGGGGAAUAUUGCACAAUGGGGGAAACCCUGAUGCAGCCAUGCCGCGUGUGUGAAGAAGGCCUUCGGGUUGUAAAGCACUUUCAGCGAGGAGGAAAGGUUGAUGCCUAAUACGUAUCAACUGUGACGUUACUCGCAAAAGAAGCACCGGCUAACUCCGUGCCAGCACCCGCGGUAAUACGGAGGGUGCAAGCGUUAAUCGGAAUUACUGGGCGUAAAGCGCAC
This 523-nucleotide ribosomal RNA is filed under the name Aeromonas sp. 1(2015). RNAcentral's name for it is "bacterial SSU rRNA". It matches the Rfam family "Bacterial small subunit ribosomal RNA", at positions 62 to 570 of the family's 1533-position model. Lineage: Bacteria; Pseudomonadati; Pseudomonadota; Gammaproteobacteria; Aeromonadales; Aeromonadaceae. The record is from RNAcentral.